GACGAACGCUGGCGGCGUGCUUAACACAUGCAAGUCGAACGGAAAGGCCCUGCUUGCAGGGUACUCGAGUGGCGAACGGGUGAGUAACACGUGGGUGAUCUGCCCUGCACUUCGGGAUAAGCCUGGGAAACUGGGUCUAAUACCGGAUAGGAGCCAUUUUUAGUGUGAUGGUUGGAAAGUUUUUUCGGUGUAGGAUGAGCUCGCGGCCUAUCAGCUUGUUGGUGGGGUAAUGGCCUACCAAGGCGGCGACGGGUAGCCGGCCUGAGAGGGUGGACGGCCACAUUGGGACUGAGAUACGGCCCAGACUCCUACGGGAGGCAGCAGUGGGGAAUAUUGCACAAUGGGCGCAAGCCUGAUGCAGCGACGCCGCGUGGGUGAUGACGGCCUUCGGGUUGUAAACUCCUUUCGCUAGGGACGAAGCUUUUUGUGACGGUACCUAGAUAAGAAGCACCGGCUAACUACUU
RNAcentral lists this ribosomal RNA (464 nucleotides) under uncultured bacterium. Its description in RNAcentral is "partial 16S ribosomal RNA". It matches the Rfam family "Bacterial small subunit ribosomal RNA", at positions 28 to 506 of the family's 1533-position model. The record is from RNAcentral.